AAUGAACGCUGGCGGCAUGCCUUACACAUGCAAGUCGAACGGCAGCAUGACCUAGCUUGCUAGGUUGAUGGCGAGUGGCGCACGGGUGAGUAAUGCAUCGGAACGUGCCUUUUAGUGGGGGAUAACGUAGCGAAAGUUACGCUAAUACCGCAUAUUCUCUGAGGAGGAAAGCAGGGGACCUUCGGGCCUUGCGCUAGAAGAGCGGCCGAUGUCGGAUUAGCUAGUUGGUGAGGUAAAGGCUCACCAAGGCAACGAUCCGUAGCGGGUCUGAGAGGAUGAUCCGCCACACUGGGACUGAGACACGGCCCAGACUCCUACGGGAGGCAGCAGUGGGGAAUUUUGGACAAUGGGCGCAAGCCUGAUCCAGCCAUGCCGCGUGAGUGAAGAAGGCCUUCGGGUUGUAAAGCUCUUUCGGCUGGGAAGAAAUCGCACCCUCUAAUACAGGGUGUGGAUGACGGUACCAGCAUAAGAAGCACCGGCUAACUACGUG
This 490-nucleotide ribosomal RNA is filed under the name uncultured bacterium. RNAcentral's name for it is "partial 16S ribosomal RNA". It matches the Rfam family "Bacterial small subunit ribosomal RNA", at positions 29 to 507 of the family's 1533-position model. The record is from RNAcentral.